GAUGAACGCUGGCGGCGUGCCUAAUACAUGCAAGUCGAGCGAACAGACGAGGAGCUUGCUCCUCUGACGUUAGCGGCGGACGGGUGAGUAACACGUGGAUAACCUACCUAUAAGACUGGGAUAACUUCGGGAAACCGGAGCUAAUACCGGAUAACAUGUUGAACCGCAUGGUUCAACAGUGAAAGACGGUCUUGCUGUCACUUAUAGAUGGAUCCGCGCCGCAUUAGCUAGUUGGUAAGGUAACGGCUUACCAAGGCAACGAUGCGUAGCCGACCUGAGAGGGUGAUCGGCCACACUGGAACUGAGACACGGUCCAGACUCCUACGGGAGGCAGCAGUAGGGAAUCUUCCGCAAUGGGCGAAAGCCUGACGGAGCAACGCCGCGUGAGUGAAGAAGGUCUUCGGAUCGUAAAACUCUGUUAUUAGGGAAGAACAAAUGUGUAAGUAACUAUGCACGUCUUGACGGUACCUAAUCAGAAAGCCACCGCUAACUACGUG
This 497-nucleotide ribosomal RNA is filed under the name uncultured bacterium. RNAcentral describes it as "partial 16S ribosomal RNA". It matches the Rfam family "Bacterial small subunit ribosomal RNA", at positions 28 to 507 of the family's 1533-position model. The record is from RNAcentral.